Molecule: long non-coding RNA, 724 nt
Organism: Sapajus apella (tufted capuchin)
Lineage: Eukaryota; Metazoa; Chordata; Mammalia; Primates; Cebidae
Exons: 2
Source: RefSeq, a predicted model, not a curated record
GAGAAGACUUGACGUAGAAAAUAAAUUCAGUUUUAGGUAGGCAGAAUUUUUUUUUUUAAGAUAAAGAACUGCCUUUGAAGAUAUGCACACCCACAAUCUAGUCAAGCUGCCUUUUCUCAGGUUUCUACAUACCACUUCCAAAGUGAAAAUUUAUGAAAAAUAGCAAGUUUUAUGUUCAUUUGUAAUCUGUUAAAAAAUCAUUAAAGUAUGUAAAUUUCUCUUCUUCACAGAAAAAAAAAAAAGAGAGAAUCAGCCUUUCGGUCAACAGAGCUAUGCUUGAGAAGGUUCCCAACCAUUGCUCCUGUUGGUUUUGCUGAUGAAAUGAAAGUUUGACGUCCCAAGAUGACAAUGUUUAACAACGGGAUUGCCUAAUUCCUGAAAUUUUAACAAUCAACUCUCAUAAGCUGAUGCGAAUGGCUCCAACAUACCACUUACUUUAUGUCUGUAUUUUUUAUCUUACCACUUAAAUUCUAAGCAUGUAGAGGCAGGGGUCAUGGCUUAAAUAUAUUUGUAUUGUCCAUAGUGCUUAACACAUAGUGACUUACUAAAUAUUUGUUGGAUAACGGAUAUAUUUCUGUACUGAAAGCUAUAUAUGGCCUGUGUAAGUUUAUGGUUGCUACAUUAGUUGCUAUAAUUAUCCUGGUAAAUGUGCUGCAAAUAUUUGCCCUGGUAAAAUCGAGGCUAUAGAUGCGUGUAUCUUGGAAAUAAACAUGUUUUCUCUGGA